UACGUAGGGUGCGAGCGUUGUCCGGAAUUAUUGGGCGUAAAGAGCUCGUAGGCGGCCUGUCGCGUCGGUUGUGAAAGCCCGGGGCUUAACCCCGGGUCUGCAGUCGAUACGGGCAGGCUAGGGUUCGGUAGGGGAGAUCGGAAUUCCUGGUGUAGCGGUGAAAUGCGCAGAUAUCAGGAGGAACACCGGUGGCGAAGGCGGAUCUCUGGGCCGAUACUGACGCUGAGGAGCGAAAGCGUGGGGAGCGAACAGG
RNAcentral lists this ribosomal RNA (253 nucleotides) under uncultured bacterium. Its description in RNAcentral is "partial 16S ribosomal RNA". It matches the Rfam family "Bacterial small subunit ribosomal RNA", at positions 524 to 776 of the family's 1533-position model. The record is from RNAcentral.